Molecule: long non-coding RNA, 706 nt
Filed under: Solanum tuberosum (potato)
Lineage: Eukaryota; Viridiplantae; Streptophyta; Magnoliopsida; Solanales; Solanaceae
Description: long non-coding RNA (STUB_LNC009103)
Source: RNAcentral
UCCUACAUAGUUACAUCAAAAGUAUGAAAGGACAGCCCAAAACAAAAUCUAUCUCCUAUAUUCCUUAUAAACUGUCUAGAAAUAGGUUAAUUUCCCCUAUAUCCUUAGGUACAGAAUGUAUACACCAAAAGUAAAAUGUUGCUAAACAGUUCAUCUUUAUACUUUGGAAGGGAAUGUUCUUGUUCUCAAAACAUCUCUGGUUUCUCUCCUUCCAGAUUGUCCACCAGAUGCAAGAAGGGACAAUCUUCCAUCUCUCCUUGUGUUCUGACUGAUUUCCAUCUCUAUUCCAGCAUGCUAGUACUUCUGAAGUAUGCCUUGGCAUGGCCCAUCCAAUACCCCUCAGAUUGAUGAACCAUUGCCAUAAUUUUCCAGUCACUUUACACUGCAGAAACAGAUGAUUUAGUGUCUCUAUUUCAGCUUCAUCUCUGGUUUCUCUCCUUCCAGAUUGUCCACCAGAUGCAAGAAGGGACAAUCUUCCAUCUCUCCUUGUGUUCUGACUGAUUUCCAUCUCUAUUCCAGCAUGCUAGUACUUCUGAAGUAUGCCUUGGCAUGGCCCAUCCAAUACCCCUCAGAUUGAUGAACCAUUGCCAUAAUUUUCCAGUCACUUUACACUGCAGAAAAAGAUGAUUUACUGUCUCUAUUUCAGCUUCACAAAAAAAACAUCUAGAGCAUAACUGCCUGCCCCUUUUCAUAAGGUUGUCCUGGG